CAUGAAAAUUAGUAGUGGUAGGAAGAGAAAAUUAGACAGAAAUAGUUAAAUAAAGCAAAAUACACCAUGAAUAAGAGGCGAUCAGGUCACAAGAGGAAGGAGAGGAGGUCUUUCGACAGCUGGCAAGGAGAGGGAGGAGCACAAACAGAGGAGACAAGACAGUUGGAGGAUGGAGCCCGUCAGCCGAGGAGUCAGGAUGCGUCACCACAGCAGCGGACAUGGGACUUCAAAUGCACCAACCUGUGGAAGUAAGCUGUGUACUCUGAGACAUCCCACCUGAUGACAGCACAGGUAUGGAAGAGACACCUGGUGAGACACACUCAAUGGAAACAAAAAAAAAAAAAUGAGAUGAAAAGCAAGUCUCCUUGAAGAGCACCACAACACCAUGCCUCUGCAGUCCCAUCACCAAGAACCUCCCUUGACACUGCACCACCACACAUCAGCCCUCCCAUCACCUCUUGGACACCAGUGGCAGGGUUGUGGUGAUGGGACAAGAAAAUGUAUCAUCACCUGUGCUGUCUGUCUGCAUAGCUGUGGUGCAGGUUUACCAGUAGUAUCUAGAGUUUGGACCAGCAGCAUCUAGCCUGCUUAACACCUACCUACCUCCCUGGCUCACCCCACUGGAGGACACAGAACUGGUCUGGAUUCCUGAGCUUGCUUCCCCCUACAUCAGAUGAAUAUAUCAGCAUCCUCCUGCCUGCUUGAGAUUGAUGCCCAGCCCUCCAAAGUGACCCACCCCCCUGUGCCAAGUGGCCCAAAAAACUGUCAACCUCCCCCCCUCUGUGCCAAGGGGCCUUUUCAAAAAACUGUACUGUCAACCCCCCCCCCCUGUGCCAAGUGGCCCAAAAAACUGUACAAUCCCUCCCCUGUGCCAAGUGGCUCAAAAAACUGUAUACCCCCGUCCCCGUCAACCAAGUGGCCCAAAAAAAACUGUACACCCCCGUCCCCGUGUGCCGCCAAGUGGCCCAAAAAACUGUACACCCAUCCCCCUGUGUGCCAAGUGGCCCAAAAAACUGUACACCCCUGUCCCCCUGUGUGCCAAGUGGCCCAAAAAACUGUACACCCCCCCCUCCCCCUGUGCCAAGUGGCCCAAAAAACUGUACAAGUCAAAAAUACUCACUCCAAAGAUGACUCAUGAUUUUGCAGUAGUAGAGAGAAUAUGAAGGAAAAGAAAGUGGUUCCCCCCCCACAAAAUCUUUUAAUAAUAAUUAAUUUAAAUUAAGUAACAUUCUCUCUUACAAUAUCUCCAGACAAAGUAAUAUAUAAAUUCUCUAUUACAAUAUCUCCAGACAAAGUAAUAUAUAAAUUCUCUAUUACAAUAUCUCCAGACAAUAAUCUCUAGCGUAUUUUUUUUUUUUUUUUACUUACUGGGCUGCUUUAGACAGGGGGGCAGGGGGCAUGUUCACCAGCACUGUCUGUCUGCAUAGGUGUGGUGCAUGCAGGUUUGUUUACCAGUCUUCCAAGUUUCCCAGUAAUAAAUCUCUGCCUGCCUGGCCUGUGGUACCCCACAAAAAUUCUAUUAAUAAUAUAAAUAUAAAAAUUCUCUUAUUACAAAACCUCCAGACAGUCCUGAAUCCAUUAAUAAAUUUUUUCCAUUACAAAACCUCUGGAGGAGAGCAGCAGCAACCUUAACCCUCCCCUUUUUCCUCCUCCUCUAGCCUUGACAGAAGAAGGAAAGUGGUGGUGGUGCCUUCCCCCUAGCAGCUCUUCUCAUUCUCUAGGGUUGCAGGUCUUUCUCUCAUUCUCUAGGGUUGCAGGUCUUUCUCUCAUUCUCUAGGGUUGCAGGUCUUUCUCUCAUUCUCUAGGGUUGCAGGUCUUUCUCUCAUUCUCUAGGGUUGCAGGUCUUUCUCUCAUUCUCUAGGGUUGCAGGUCUUUCUCUCAUUCUCUAGGGUUGCAGGUCUUUCUCUCAUUCUCUAGGGUUGCAGGUCUUUCUCUCAUUCUCUAGGGUUGCAGGUCUUUCUCUCAUUCUCUAGGGUUGCAGGUCUUUCUCUCAUUCUCUAGGGUUGCAGGUCUUUCUCUCAUUCUCUAGGGUUGCAGGUCUUUCUCUCAUUCUCUAGGGUUGCAGGUCUUUCUCUCAUUCUCUAGGGUUGCAGGUCUUUCUCUCAUUCUCUAGGGUUGCAGGUCUUUCUCUCAUUCUCUAGGGUUGCAGGUCUUUCUCUCAUUCUCUAGGGUUGCAGGUCUUUCUCUCAUUCUCUAGGGUUGCAGGUCUUUCUCUCAUUCUCUAGGGUUGCAGGUCUUUCUCUCAUUCUCUAGGGUUGCAGGUCUUUCUCUCAUUCUCUAGGGUUGCAGGUCUUUCUCUCAUUCUCUAGGGUUGCAGGUCUUUCUCUCAUUCUCUAGGGUUGCAGGUCUUUCUCUCAUUCUCUAGGGUUGCAGGUCUUUCUCUCAUUCUCUAGGGUUGCAGGUCUUUCUCUCAUUCUCUAGGGUUGCAGGUGGUCUUCUCUCAUUCUAGGGUUGCAGGUCUGGAAAAUGGAAAAUAAGAUGUAUAAUCCUUGUACCUUUAAAGAGAAGUUCUCAAAUAAAUGCUAAAAAAAUUAUAAAUGUAAUAAUAAUAAUUAAUAUACCUAUCACAGUAACAGUUGCUUCAGAAAAAAAAAAAGUAAAAUAAAAACCUGUUAUUGCCUUCUCGAUGUAGUGUCCUCAAACUUGUCACCUCUUCCUGCUUCUUACAUCGUCACCACCACCACCACCACCAGGCAAAUACUGUGUGGAGAGAGUUCUGGACACCAUUUUUUUUUAACCUGGAAAGAGUCAAAACUUCAGAAAAAGUAAAAUAAAAAUUCCUUGUCCACUUGCUCCUCUUGAUGUCUUGUGUCCUCAAACUUGUCACCACCACCACCAGGCAUUUGUGUGGAGAGAGUUCUGAACACCAUUUAAACCUGGAAUGAAUUUGUGGGUUAAAUCAACAGACGUUUAAAAAAAAUAAAUAAAUCGGGUGUAUUUAGCUUUCUAAUAAAUGUAAAUAAUCAUGA
Long non-coding RNA from Scylla paramamosain (green mud crab), 2969 nucleotides. RefSeq lists it as uncharacterized. NCBI's taxonomy places the organism in Eukaryota, Metazoa, Arthropoda, Malacostraca, Decapoda, Portunidae. The transcript has 4 exons. The record is from RefSeq and is a predicted model, not a curated record.